UACGUAGGUGGCAAGCGUUGUCCGGAUUUACUGGGCGUAAAGGAUGCGUAGGCGGAUAUUUAAGUGAGAUGUGAAAUUCCCGGGCUUAACUUGGGAGCUGCAUUUCAAACUGGGUAUCUAGAGUGUGGGAGAGGAAAGUGGAAUUCCUAGUGUAGCGGUGAAAUGCGUAGAGAUUAGGAAGAACCCCAGUGGCGAAGGCGACUUUCUGGACCAUAACUGACGCUGAGGCAUGAAAGCGUGGGGAGCAAAC
RNAcentral lists this ribosomal RNA (250 nucleotides) under uncultured bacterium. RNAcentral's name for it is "partial 16S ribosomal RNA". It matches the Rfam family "Bacterial small subunit ribosomal RNA", at positions 524 to 773 of the family's 1533-position model. The record is from RNAcentral.